Molecule: long non-coding RNA, 893 nt
Organism: Papaver somniferum (opium poppy)
Lineage: Eukaryota; Viridiplantae; Streptophyta; Magnoliopsida; Ranunculales; Papaveraceae
Exons: 6
Source: RefSeq, a predicted model, not a curated record
CCUUCUCGUCUUUACGAUGUUUUUUAGAUCUCAGAAAUUUUUUUGGAAAGAGAGAGAUAAACACAUAGGCGAUUUAUAGUUGUUGUUCUUCCACAGAGAUUCGUUCUUCGGGGCGAUAUGGAUGUGGAUGAUGAUGAUGAUGAUGACAAUUAUUAUCAAACAACAACACCAAUUUUAUCUUCUUGGGGUCCUGAUGAUACUCGGGAUAAAAAAGAAAUACAUACCCCUGUUGUCGAAGAUCAUGAGGAUCGAUCAUAUCUAAGAGACGCAUUGAAGCUGGAGAAUCUUUUUUUUUGUGUGGAUUUCUGUUUAGGUAACAAUAUUGGCCGUAACAAAACGAGUUGCAUCUCACGAUAACAAAGUUGACGAGGAAUUGGAUAAGCUCAGAGGAUGGGUUGAAAAGGAUAAAGGAGAUUGUGAGCACAUUUGCCUUAGGAAAUGACCUCACCUUAUGUUGCUAUGCUUGUAGCUCAAGAUGUUGUAACACAAUUGCAGGGGGAAUGAAGGUCAAAGCUGAUAAAGAUGGGUCCUCGCCUCAUGUUUCUAUGCUUGCAACCCAAAAUGUUGCAACAGGGUAAUAGGUUAACUGCUAAACCAUCCUAUGCAAAUCCUGCCAUUAUUCAACAAGAUUUUGGCGUGGUUGAUAUUUUUGUCAGUCUGUGCAGACUAGAAUGGCAGUCUGGCUAUCAUGAAUGUUGGAUUUUUUCUGUAUUUUUGUCGAUGUGUCCAUGGUUGUACACUAGUGUGAAUUAAAAAAAAAUUUAAAAGUGAAAAUUAUAUAGUCAUAUGGGUACUCUUUUUGUAUAUCUCGAAAAGAGUUUUUCGAAUAUAUAAAGUUUGUAAAUUUUGGAUGAACGGUUCGAAAGUUAAAUUGUUUUUUAAAUAUUUAUAUA